GACGAACGCUGGCGGCGUGCUUAACACAUGCAAGUCGAACGGAAAGGCCCUGCUUUUGUGGGGUGCUCGAGUGGCGAACGGGUGAGUAACACGUGAGUAACCUGCCCUUGACUUUGGGAUAACUUCAGGAAACUGGGGCUAAUACCGGAUAGGAGCUCCUGCUGCAUGGUGGGGGUUGGAAAGUUUCGGCGGUUGGGGAUGGACGAGCGGCUUAUCAGCUUGUUGGUGGGGUAGUGGCUUACCAAGGCUUUGACGGGUAGCCGGCCUGAGAGGGUGACCGGCCACAUGGGGCCUGAGAUACGGCCCAGACUCCUACGGGAGGCAGCAGUGGGGAAUAUUGCACAAUGGGCGGAAGCCUGAUGCAGCAACGCCGCGUGCGGGAUGACGGCCUUCGGGUUGUAAACCGCUUUCGCCUGUGACGAAGCGUGAGUGACGGUAAUGGGUAAAGAAGCACCGGCUAACUACGUG
Molecule: ribosomal RNA, 468 nt
Filed under: uncultured bacterium
Lineage: Bacteria
Description: partial 16S ribosomal RNA
Rfam family: Bacterial small subunit ribosomal RNA
Source: RNAcentral